CUGGAGAAGAAGAACUUUUGUUCAGAAUUAUAUCUUUCACCUCACAUUUCACGGUAUAGGCUCUAUUAGCAGAUCUAAUAAUGUGAAGCGCAAAGAUAAUGGAAUGCUGAUUUAUCAUCACAUUGCUUUCGUUUUGGUUUUGUUUACCACCUUUCGAUGAUGGGUUUGUGCUUUUCUGUCUCUCUCUCUGUCUCUGGAGAAGAAGAACUUUUGUUCAGAAUUAUAUCUUUCACCUCACAUUUCACGGUAUAGGCUCUAUUAGCAGAUCUAAUAAUGUGAAGCGCAAAGAUAAUGGAAUGCUGAUUUAUCAUCACAUUGCUUUCGUUUUGGUUUUGUUUACCACCUUUCGAUGAUGGGUUUGUGCUUUUCUUUUUGUUUAUUCGUUUAGGAGGACGAUUUGAUUUGAUUGGUCUGAAGAUGGAUUCCGCAGCCAUGACUUUUUGCAGUAAAUCUAUAUGCUCACCUCC
RNAcentral lists this long non-coding RNA (467 nucleotides) under Olea europaea (common olive). RNAcentral's name for it is "long non-coding RNA (OEUR_LNC011434)". Lineage: Eukaryota; Viridiplantae; Streptophyta; Magnoliopsida; Lamiales; Oleaceae. The record is from RNAcentral.